This 159-nucleotide ribosomal RNA is filed under the name Coprinellus micaceus. Its description in RNAcentral is "5.8S ribosomal RNA". The stretch from base 1 to 120 matches the Rfam family "5.8S ribosomal RNA", at positions 35 to 154 of the family's 154-position model. From Rfam's summary of the family: 5.8S ribosomal RNA (5.8S rRNA) is a component of the large subunit of the eukaryotic ribosome. It is transcribed by RNA polymerase I as part of the 45S precursor that also contains 18S and 28S rRNA. The record is from RNAcentral. RNAcentral also lists the same sequence under 1 other name. Lineage: Eukaryota; Fungi; Basidiomycota; Agaricomycetes; Agaricales; Psathyrellaceae.
GAUGAAGAACGCAGCGAAAUGCGAUAAGUAAUGUGAAUUGCAGAAUUCAGUGAAUCAUCGAAUCUUUGAACGCACCUUGCGCUCCUUGGUAUUCCGAGGAGCAUGCCUGUUUGAGUGUCAUUAAAUUCUCAACCUCACCCGUUUUCUGAACGGUACCCG